This 477-nucleotide ribosomal RNA is filed under the name uncultured bacterium. RNAcentral's name for it is "partial 16S ribosomal RNA". It matches the Rfam family "Bacterial small subunit ribosomal RNA", at positions 28 to 507 of the family's 1533-position model. The record is from RNAcentral.
GAUUAACGCUGGCGGCGUGCAUAACACAUGCAAGUCGAACGAUGAAACUUAGUAGACUUCUUCGGAAAGACACUAAGCGGAUUAGUGGCGAACGGGUGAGUAACGCGUGAGUAACCUGCCUUACACAAGGGGAUAGCCUUUGGAAACGAAGAAUAAUACCCUAUAAAACCAUAAAAGCACAUGCUAGAAUGGUCAGAGUGAUAGCGGUGUAAGAUGGACUUGCGUCUGAUUAGCUAGUUGGUGAGAUUAAAGCUCACCAAGGCAACGAGCAGGAGCCGGCGUGUGAGCGUGUACAGCCGGAUUGGGACUGGGCCCCGGCCCCGACUCCUACGGGCGGCAGGAGUGGGGGAUUUUGCACAAUGGGGGUAACCCUGAUGCGGCGCCGCCGCGUGAUUGAGAAGGCCUUCGGGUUGUAAAAAUCUUUUGUAUAGGAAGAAAAUGACAGUACUAGACGAAUAAGGUCCGGCUAAUUACGUG